This is a non-coding RNA of Zasmidium cellare ATCC 36951, 125 nucleotides long. The record is from the annotation of a RefSeq genome assembly. NCBI's taxonomy places the organism in Eukaryota, Fungi, Ascomycota, Dothideomycetes, Mycosphaerellales, Mycosphaerellaceae.
GCCUUCUUAGCUCAGCGGUAGAGCGCGUCACUAGUAAUGACGAGGUCAUUGGUACGUAGCAAUUACAGCCGGACUCGACCCAACAGUCGCUAAUAUCCCCAUUGGUUCGAUUCCAGUAGGAGGCA